RNAcentral lists this ribosomal RNA (585 nucleotides) under uncultured bacterium. RNAcentral's name for it is "partial 16S ribosomal RNA". It matches the Rfam family "Bacterial small subunit ribosomal RNA", at positions 355 to 932 of the family's 1533-position model. The record is from RNAcentral.
UGGGGAAUUUUGGACAAUGGGCGAAAGCCUGAUCCAGCAAUGCCGCGUGUGUGAAGAAGGCCUUCGGGUUGUAAAGCACUUUUGUCCGGAAAGAAAUCCUUGGCUCUAAUACAGUCGGGGGAUGACGGUACCGGAAGAAUAAGCACCGGCUAACUACGUGCCAGCAGCCGCGGUAAUACGUAGGGUGCAAGCGUUAAUCGGAAUUACUGGGCGUAAAGCGUGCGCAGGCGGUUUGCUAAGACCGAUGUGAAAUCCCCGGGCUCAACCUGGGAACUGCAUUGGUGACUGGCAGGCUAGAGUAUGGCAGAGGGGGGUAGAAUUCCACGUGUAGCAGUGAAAUGCGUAGAGAUGUGGAGGAAUACCGAUGGCGAAGGCAGCCCCCCUGGGCCAAAUACUGACGCUCAUGCACGAAAAGCGUGGGGAGCAAAACAGGAUUAGAUACCCUGGUAGUCCACGCCCCUAAAACGAUGUCAACUAGUUGUUGGGGAUUCAUUUCCUUAGUAACGUAGCUAACGCGUGAAGUUGACCGCCUGGGGAGUACGGUCGCAAGAUUAAAACUCAAAUGAAUUGACGGGGUCAUAGCUG